AGACCCGAAACCCGGUGAUCUAGCCAUGGGCAGGUUGAAGGUUGGGUAACACUAACUGGAGGACCGAACCGACUAAUGUUGAAAAAUUAGCGGAUGACCUGUGGCUGGGGGUGAAAGGCCAAUCAAACCGGGAGAUAGCUGGUUCUCCCCGAAAGCUAUUUAGGUAGCGCCUCGUGAAUUCAUCUCCGGGGGUAGAGCACUGUUUCGGCUAGGGGGCCAUCCCGGCUUACCAACCCGAUGCAAACUGCGAAUACCGGAGAAUGUUAUCACGGGAGACACACGGCGGGUGCUAACGUCCGUCGUGAAGAGGGAAACAACCCAGACCGCCAGCUAAGGUCCCAAAGUCAUGGUUAAGUGGGAAACGAUGUGGGAAGGCCCAGACAGCCAGGAUGUUGGCUUAGAAGCAGCCAUCAUUUAAAGAAAGCGUAAUAGCUCACUGGUCGAGUCGGCCUGCGCGGAAGAUGUAACGGGGCUAAACCAUGCACCGAAGCUGCGGCAGCGACACUAUGUGUUGUUGGGUAGGGGAGCGUUCUGUAAGCCUGCGAAGGUGGCCUGUGAGGGUUGCUGGAGGUAUCAGAAGUGCGAAUGCUGACAUAAGUAACGAUAAAGCGGGUGAAAAGCCCGCUCGCCGGAAGACCAAGGGUUCCUGUCCAACGUUAAUCGGGGCAGGGUGAGUCGACCCCUAAGGCGAGGCCGAAAGGCGUAGUCGAUGGGAAACGGGUUAAUAUUCCCGUACUUGGUGUUACUGCGAAGGGGGGACGGAGAAGGCUAUGUUGGCCGGGCGACGGUUGUCCCGGUUUAAGCGUGUAGGUGUGUGUUCCAGGUAAAUCCGGUU
RNAcentral lists this ribosomal RNA (835 nucleotides) under Salmonella enterica. RNAcentral describes it as "partial 23S ribosomal RNA". It matches the Rfam family "Bacterial large subunit ribosomal RNA", at positions 711 to 1547 of the family's 2925-position model. The record is from RNAcentral. RNAcentral also lists the same sequence under 2 other names. Lineage: Bacteria; Pseudomonadati; Pseudomonadota; Gammaproteobacteria; Enterobacterales; Enterobacteriaceae.